AAGUCGAACGGCAGCGCGGGGUAACCUGGCGGCGAGUGGCGAACGGGUGAGUAAUACAUCGGAACGUGCCCUGUGAUGGGGGAUAACUACGCGAAAGCGUAGCUAAUACCGCAUACGACCUACGGGUGAAAGUGGGGGAUCGCAAGACCUCACGUCAUAGGAGCGGCCGAUGGCGGAUUAGCUAGUUGGUGAGGUAAAGGCUUACCAAGGCAACGAUCCGUAGCUGGUCUGAGAGGACGACCAGCCACACUGGGACUGAGACACGGCCCAGACUCCUACGGGAGGCAGCAGUGGGGAAUCUUGGACAAUGGGGGCAACCCUGAUCCAGCAAUGCCGCGUGUGGGAUGAAGGCCUUCGGGUUGUAAACCACUUUUGGCGGGGGCGAAAUAUCGAGUGCUAAUACCAUUCGGUGAUGACGGUACCCGCAGAAUAAGCACCGGCUAACUACGUGCCAGCAGCCGGGGGUAAUACA
This 472-nucleotide ribosomal RNA is filed under the name uncultured Thiomonas sp. Its description in RNAcentral is "bacterial SSU rRNA". It matches the Rfam family "Bacterial small subunit ribosomal RNA", at positions 59 to 527 of the family's 1533-position model. Lineage: Bacteria; Pseudomonadati; Pseudomonadota; Betaproteobacteria; Burkholderiales. The record is from RNAcentral.